Molecule: ribosomal RNA, 492 nt
Filed under: uncultured bacterium
Lineage: Bacteria
Description: partial 16S ribosomal RNA
Rfam family: Bacterial small subunit ribosomal RNA
Source: RNAcentral
GAUGAACGCUAGCUACAGGCUUAACACAUGCAAGUCGAGGGGAAACGACAUCGAAAGCUUGCUUUUGAUGGGCGUCGACCGGCGCACGGGUGAGUAACGCGUAUCCAACCUGCCCAUCACUUGGGAAUAACCUUGCGAAAGUAAGACUAAUACCCAAUGAUAUCCCACGAAGUCAUCGGAAUGGGAUUAAAGAUUUAUCGGUGAUGGAUGGGGAUGCGUCUGAUUAGCUUGUUGGCGGGGUAACGGCCCACCAAGGCAACGUUCAGUAGGGGAUCUGAGAGGAAGGUCCCCCACAUUGGAACUGAGACACGGACCAAACUCCUAAGGGAGGCAGCAGUGAGGAAUAUUGGGCAAUGGGCGAGAGCCUGAACCAGCCAAGUUGCGUGCAGGAAGACCGCCCUAUGGGUUGUAAACUGCUUUUAUAAGGGAAUAAAGUGGGUCACGUGUGACUUUUUGCAUGUACCUUAUGAAUAAGGACCGGCUAAUUCCGUG